This 37-nucleotide small RNA is filed under the name Propionibacterium australiense. Its description in RNAcentral is "CRISPR_Spacer". The record is from RNAcentral. Lineage: Bacteria; Bacillati; Actinomycetota; Actinomycetes; Propionibacteriales; Propionibacteriaceae.
CUCUUCACCGGCCCACUCGUACACGUCCUGGAAGAUG